GGCCGCACCGCGCUCCCUGCAGGCGAGGCAAGGCGGCUGGAAAGUUGUUGAGCGGGGAAAGUUGCGAGACAAAAGCGAGGGGAGCGCGUCUCCGCUCCUUUGUUCUGCGUGGGGCGGGAGAGGAGGAGGAGGAGGAGGGGGGUGAGGACCUUUGCGAGAGAGACCGGCUGAGCCAGAGGCGCGCUCCGAGAGCUGGCGCGACCAGCAGCAAUUAGACUCUCCCUGCAGAGCCCCCCUCAGCAAACCCAGCCGGGCGCUGGCAGGAGGAAGGUGCAUCCCUCUCCAAGGUCAAAGUGUGUUGGAGAAGCAUGAUGGCUGCCAAAGCACCUUAGAGCUGUACUGCAUUACUGCUUAAUUCAACUGUGGAUAUUUCACUGGGACCUGGGAUAGGAGAAACUGGGAAUGAAUAAAGACAUCAAGCAUCAUCAUUUGGAUUUACACACCAGUUAAUGAACUGUUAGAAGUAGUGGAUGUGGCUUUUAAAUCAGAAAAUGUGCAUAAGAUGCUGAUGAAAAUGUUUUGGAGUAGAUCACUUUUUGACACAGGUUCUACCAGUUGAAAUAAGGUGCAGCAAAAUUAAUUCUCUGCUAUGCAGUCGGAUGUAGAUGUUUGAUAGUGCAUUUCAAAGGCAAUAGCUGGAUUUUGAACACCAGGAUUGUUGAAUAAAACAGUUCUGUGGAUGAACACCCAGCAAUCUGUGAUUGGAUCAACUUUUUCAUGAAUAGUAACUGUUCAGUGGUGACUCAGCUGUUGUAACUAGAAACCAGAGAUUUUCCUCUUCUGUUGAAUUGUCCAGCUGUCUUCCUACUGUAUGGCUGCUGAACAAUUAUUAUUAGGAAUGUUUGAUGAAUAUUCUUCAGGUAGGAAAUCAGAAAACUAUUCCCGAAACAAAGCUGUUACAUGCACUCUGAACGUGGAGGAGACACUCCUAUCUGUCUUUAGGAAGUACACUAGUCGAAAGGAGAUCUCUAAGAAUAUUCUGUGCUCUGAGGUAUGAAUCAUGUCAGUACAGUGAAAGAUGAAGAUACGCAUUUCUGAAGUAGGAGUGUGCAUAUGAUUAAAGGAUUUGAACAGAGGACUCCGAACUGUAGUUCCUUCCUGCUCCAGGAGGGAUACCUGAGGUACCAAAGCUCUGAAGAACAGCAGUGAGGAACUCAAUGAUAGCUGCUCUCUCUCAGAGCCUUCCAUCAAAAGACAACAUUCUCCCCAAAGAAAGGACUGAUUCUUUUUGAAGGUAAUGUCUUCAUUCUGCUAUCAAACGUCAUUAAGGGCAACGGUAACAUCAUCUGUCUCAGCAGCAGCAUUAGGUUAACACAGUGAUUGGCAACCUACAAAUGCCAGGCACUUGGAAGCAGCACACCACAUCUUAAGUUUACAUCUUUUCCAUACUCUGCUCUGGCCAAGAAUCCACUGGAGAGACCCUGCAUGCAAAACCUCCAACUAAUCAGUGGCAGCAGGUUCCUGUCAAGGCCGGGGCAGCUCAUACAACUGCUGUGCCUGCUCCCCAGACACCCCUUGGGAACAGGUAUGAGGCCCUGGCUCCUCUGGAGGAGAAGGCAGAAGAACAGAUCCCCAGAGUCAUUGAUGCUGCUCGACCUACAACACGGGCUGAGAAGAGGCAGACCCUGAGGAGGAGGCGGCGUAAAGUUCUGGUCAUUGGGGACUCCAUCCUGAGGGGAACCUAUGGUCUAAUCUGUCGCUCUGAGCCCUGGUCAAGCAGGUUUGCUGUAUGCCCAGAGCGAGGAUUUGGGACAUCAUGGAGACCAUCCUGAAAAUCAUCAAGCCCUCUGACUACUACCCACUGGUUGUGGUCCAUGUGGGGACAAAUGAUGCAUCCAAGGGCAAGCCGGACAACAUCAUGGAAGACUACAAGGCCUUGGGACACCAACUGAAGAAGAUGGGAGCUCAGGUGCUAUUUUCCUCCAUUCUCCCAAUUGGCUGAUCUCGUACAGCGGGUUUAAACUAGCUUCACUGGGGGAAGGGUCCGCUCCGAGUGGAGAGGAUGCUUCGCCAGCAUGCAGGGUGACAAGAGAAAGGGAUGCCCAGAUCCAUCGUUUUUGGUGUGGAGGUGAUAACAAGAGAACUUUCUACCUGUCUCAGAUGCUGGAAAAGUGUGUUGUCAUGAUUCCAAGAUGAUGACCUUGGUAUGGGGAUCAGGUACUGUUUUGAUGGAGAUGUCUUCAACCUGCGCAGGCUCUGAGUGAGCUCCAAAGUCCAGCCAUGCUUCAUGACUUCCUCUUCACUGACAACUGUGCAUUAUAAGGAGGAUCACAGGCUGGCAUCCAUGCCACGAUCCAUGAACCUAUUCUUGUCAACCUGUGACAACUUCAAACUCACUAUUAACAUGAAGAAGACCUGAAGUGAUGUUUCAACCUGCACCUGUCACAACACCCCGGGAACCACAUAUGUCAGUUAAAGGCCAACAACUGUUGGUGGUCAACAACUUUGUCUAUCUAGGCAGCACAUUCUCCCAUGCUGUCCACAUCGAUGACUGUGGCAGCACACCUUUGGGAGCUUGCCAUGCUAGGGGCUGGAGGCAGACACCUGGCAGGUGCCUGAUUAGGGCAGCCAUUUUAAGAUCCAGUGUAGUUUCCUGUGGCAUUCGCUUGAGCGUUUUGCCUUUUUGGGCUGAUUGUGUGUGGCUUUCUCCUUGCGGGUCAGCAGCUUGCCCUCCAAUGGGAAUCUCUAAGGUUCCCAGGGGUUCUUUCCUGCCACAACUUGAUGUUAAGGAUUAUUGCUGGGAGGAAGUUUUCAAAUCCUGCCUCUCCAGGUUCCCUCUUUGAUCUCUCACUUAGGUCUUUGUCUCGGGGCUCUGCCUCCCCUUCAGCCUCACUUAGGCCAACCAGAGAUGAUGUUAGGUCUUGGCUGAGGCUAACCCAAAGUCAACCAGCCAUGGCUGGGACUUAGCCCCUAUUUAAUCUCAGUCCCAGUUCAGAUGGUGUACUGUCCUUGUCCCGGCCUCACAUCAGCCUACCUCAUUGUUGCGUGUACCCCGGGGCACCUUCGUUCAGGGCUCACUCCCUCCCCAGGUGUUACUUACAGCUUUUAAUAUCUUUCCUCUUUUCCUCUCUAUGUAGACUCACCACUGUCCCAGUUUCUGUCAGCUUCGUCCGUAAUCCAUGGCUUCGUGAGAGCUCCUGCAGCAGCAUGGCUUUUGUUCUUGUGGUGGCAUCUCUACUGCAGUACCUUUGAUCUCGGUGGCAUUCUGCGGCCACUGCUUUUCCCUCCACUCCAGCACCAGAGGCUCGCCGCCAUCUCAGUCUCUAUCGGCUUCAUCUGGGAUCCAUGGCUUCAUGAGAGGUUCAAACCAUACUUGGAUGUGGCUGAGGUGAGCAUCGAGAUUAAGUAAGGCAUAUACAAUGACCAAGAAUGUGAAGAAAGGUAAGGUAUUGCUUAAAAAUUUCCCUUCAAGCAAAAUCUGGUGGCUAGAGAGACCAUUUUCCUUUCCUUUCUGUUCUUUCCAUCUCUCCAUCACUUCUGCACUUGACAGAGGAUGGGGAAAAAUGGCAGUGCAGUUUCAGUAGUGAAUUUUAUGCAGAUUCAGUACUUACAGUGACACUGCUUUAGAGAGCCUGUGAUUAAUGAUCAUACACAGCUUCACUAUGAAUAAGAAAAGGACAGACUUCUUCAGUUGCAGAAAAGCAUUGUGUGCAGUGAUACAGAAUUUCAGGGGUCUCUAACAUGAAGGCACAACUUUACUUACUGUGUGGGUGGUGUUUGUACCUUAAAUUAAUGCUAAUAAUCAUCAAGAACAUUUAAUUAUAUGCACAGGGUAAUAAAUACUCAAUUUCCUUUGAAGCUCUUUAUAUUUAUUUAUUUAUUUAUUUCUGCAGGUACAGCAGCUCUAUUCAGAAAUGCUUUUUUGGGGUGGGGAAGGGUUUUUCCCUGCAGGAAUUGAAUGGGAUAUUUUGUUUCUACCCAUCCACCUAUUAAUUAUUUCACAACUGUUUGUGAAGGCCUUGGCACCUCAUAGCCAUAGGAAAUGUGGCUAGGUUUGAUUCACCCAAUGAGGACCUGAGCCACCCAAAUCCAUAUUUGUGUAAAUGUCAGGCUAUAUAUUUUUUUGAACUGUACACCUUGAGGGUGACUUGUAUAGGGAGGGUAUUUAAUGUAACAAAGGGCACUUUUAUACAUGAUCCAAUGUGUUUUGAUCAGAACGCCUUUUUAGUGACACUAAGUAGCCUAACAAUACUGCACAGUAACGUGUUAGCAUUGUUAGUUAGCAUGCUAAUACUAUGCAGUUAGAGUCUCGUAUAGAUGCACCCUCUUUGGAGUACUGGAGUUCCAGUUAUUUUUCUCUAUUAUUUUCUGAGGAGGCAGUAACCAAAUUUUACUUGUGGAAAGUAUUCAAAAUUUUCCAACUUCAUUAUAUUCCAAUAGCCCUUUCUGUAAUUGACAGUUGCAUGCAAAUGGGGUCCCAUCUAUCGACUGUGUGUGUGCCUGUAUUUAUCUCUUGGAUGUAUUUAGGAGCUUCUAUAAUAGCCACCCCCAUAAUAUUGAAGCAUUUUCCAAUUAGUUAACAAUGGGAAUAGUAACAAUAUUUCUUUCCUCCUCUCUGGUUUGCAGACCUUGAUUAGUUGUGUGAAGUUCUUGUCAAGGGAGAGCCAAGUGGAAAAGAUAAAGACUGCAUUUACUGCCAAACGUGGUGACGCUUGUGAUCAUUGUUAUCCCUUGCAUACACAAAUCUAGGUCUCAUUCCUAUGAAUGUUGCGUCUCCUGUGCUCUCAAACGUACUCCAAGUGAUCAACAUUUUCCUGGGCCCUGCGGAAAAUAGCUGCUGAGGGAAACUAUAGUUCCAGAGGGACAGGCAACCUCUUAGGUAUUUAGUUCCAGACUCUUGGAGAUUGAGACAAUGACCAUAUAGUCUUUAUGCUUGUGCAGUGUGGCCUGCCGAGUCAAAAUAAUGUCGCCAGAUCUAUUCUUUUAUGGGCUGAUCCAGGACCAAGACCACAUGCUCUAAAUUGUAGGGCAGAUUUACCCUGUGAGAUGCUGUGUGACCCUGGGAUCCAGGGUUUCUAGGAUGUGUGGCUUUGGGGCAGAGCUAGCAGACAGACUAACUCAAGGUCAGGGACCUGAAGCUUCCAGGAUCUGUGACUCCUUUGUAUUCUAAUCACUGCUUUCUAUUUAGAAACUCUGCUUCCUGCAUGCAGUUCUUUCACAGCAUUUGAUGAAGUAAGCCUUCUGCUUAUGCUAUGCAUUCCUGAUUCAGUUAGCCUGUGAAGUACAAAUCUACCCUGCCUUCUGUCUGGCAUAGCCAGUUAUCUCCCAGUUUCCAAGCUGUUUGCUGUGAAAGCCUGAAUUUUCUGAGAGCUGUCUUUCUAAUGGGAACCAUAGGCCCUGGGAUCCCAGGCAGCUGUUCAGUGAAAAUGACAAAAAUGUCAAUUUUGCCAAGCAGUUGUAGAGCUUAGGGUGUAUAUUUUGUUGGUGUUUCUUAAAUAUUUCCAGGGAUUUGCAGGAAAUUAAAAAUAAAAAUUCUAAGCUUAAGUGCGCAUCCUGCCCACCCCACAGAAAUCUUGCUUUUCACUCGGCUGCCUCUCUGUUGCCUAGUGCUUUACAGAGCUAUCUACUUUGAUCUAGGCAAUUGCAGCAUAUUUUGCCUCAUUUUUCUGGUACCUGGGUACCUGGAUGUAUGUCCUGUGCAUUUCUGUAGCAGAGAACAUUAUAGGCAGCAUCUUGAUCAUUUAAGCCCUAAUGAGAAAAAGCCUCCCUCUGGCAAACCCAUUAGAAGUUGUGCCAAGCUUGCCUCAGCUGGAAGUGGCUCUUUCCAUAUCUUUCUGAUUUCAUAUGAAUUGUUUUCUCUUCCAGGGUUAUAAAAUAUCUGCGUCAGCAGGUAUAAUAGAUAAUCAAAUGAAAAAACAUCUAUACUGUGAUUAAAAUAGUUCUGCUCCCAACACAUUAUGCCAUGUAGGCAUGGGUGGUUUUGAUUUCAGGUACAUGUUAGAGUUGCUAAUAUACUCUGCAGAAAUUAUUGUGAAAAAAAAUAUCAAACUAUACACUAAAACAAGUAUUCAGCAGAUACUGAAAUUUGCUUUAAACCAGUGGGCACCCAGUUGGUGCCAUUUAGAUCUUUCGGCUGGGAAAGGAUAGGAGUUCUGAUUCAUUCAUCUUAUUUGCCUUGAGUGUGACUUGUUCUUUUUAAACAUCAUUUUUUUUUUUGUAAUUCUGAUUCCUUCUGCAAUCACUAUUUUAGCCCUCUCUUUCCCAUCUGAUAUUGAACUCCAGUGACAUUGAUGCAGAAGUAGCAAACAACAUGCUAGAGUAGGAGAAAAGGCUGUUUUUUAGUGCUUUUAGCAAUGUGACCUUAGGUAUUGAUUUAUAGCCUACUGCAGCGCUCCAGUGCAAAAGGGAACUGUGGUAAUUAAGUUAGUAUCUGCGCUUUCUAAAAUAGUGCUGAGUUGCAACAAAGAGAGACCCUUUAUUUUUCCUCUCUGCCUCUCAGUGAAUGCAGAUGCAGGCACUGACCUCUGACCCUUCUCAGCUUUCCCCAGCUGCAGCUGUUAUUUUUCUCUCUGUGUGCCUUUAGGUGCUGAUAGACUGAGUAAGAUCCAUUAAUUUUUGUGCUCGACUUUCUUUUUAAGCUUGCAAUGGAGCAAAUUUCUACAUAGUACCUGACUUUUAAAAUACUGUAUGUCCUUUUUUGGGUAAAAGAAAAGCAGACAAAAAUAUAGACAGGGCAACUCAUUCAGCAGGGUGGGUGGCCAUGAAAUGUCUCAAAUUUUAAAACCUUCUACACAAGGAUUUCUCACAUCUCACCGAGAUGAGUUCUUCCAGAAUUUGUAUACAUGAUGACAGAGCAAACACUUCAAGAAAUCUGUUUCGUAUUCCAUUAUGCUCAUUAGAGAAAUAGGGCCACAAAAGGUAAUGGUAAUAAAACCAAGUACCUUGAGGUAACUAUGUAAAUGAAUGCUAAUGUAUGCAAAUUAUCACACAAUGUUCAGUGUCCAUAAAAACGACUCAAUACAGCUAAUUAAAGGUAGGUAAGUUGCCUCAUUUUAUACUUCACAGAGUUAUGAUGAAGGUGGUAUAUUAUCAUAAUUAUAGAAUGUUUGCCUUGGGGGAAGUGUCUAAUAUUUCUCUUUCUUUUUCCUAUCAGGUUUGUCCAUUACAGUAGAAGUAAUCACCUUUUUCACUUUUUCACCCAAGGUCUUACAUUGGGAGAAGGCUCAGAAAUUAAAAAUCAAACAAACCAGUGCCCAUUUCUUUAAAUACUUUCUAAUGAACAUAGUUCUUUCUACUGUAAAUAUGGCCCCUGCUUUGCAAAGUUCUUAUAUGCAUGGUUCAUAGCAAUGGGACAAACGUACUUAAUGGUAAAUCCACAAAUGAAUUAAGGUGUUUUCCCAUUUACUCCAGCCUAGUUAUGCCACUGUGUAUGUGCAUACACUGAGGUGUAUGUGCUAAAGAAGCUACUUUUCAGAAACAGAGAGAGAGAGAGAGAUUUCACCCUUUAUACCGUGGAUAAUGGCUGAGGUUCCAGAAAACUCUAGGGCAGACAUACAAUCCAUACUCUAGGAGAGACAUGCCUACCUUGAAAAAAAAAGAGCCCAGGAAUUAUAGAUCAGUCAGUCUAACGUCAAUUCCCAGGAAGAUACUAGAACAGACAAUCAAACAAUCUAUUUGUAAGCACCUACAAGAUAAUAAGGUGAUAAAUAACAGACAACAUGGAUUUGUCAAGGAUAAGUCAUGUCAAAUCUUUCUUUCUAUGAAAGGGUAACAGGCCUUGUGGAUAAGGGAGGUGCAGUGGAUGUGAUAUAUCUUGACUUUAGUAAGGAUUUUGACCUUGUCUCACAUGAUACUCUCAUGAAUAACCUCAAGAAAUGUUGUCUAGGAGAAACUAAUGUAACAUAGCUACACAGGUGGUUGGAAAAGUAUACUCAAAAGGCGUGUCUACAUGUGCACAUACCCUUAAAUGUCAUUUAGCACUUACUUUAGCAGUCAUUUAGUACUUUAGCAAGUACUAAAUGACUGCGCAAUAGCUGCUGGUACUGUGCAGUCCUGGCACUGCAUGGGUCAUUUCUCCACCUACUGUGCAGUAAUUAGUAGUGGCAGCAUCACAGUUUAUAUCCACCAAUACUGUCACCAUAGUGACGAGCUACGUCACCAUAGCUUGUUACUACAGCGAUGUAGCAUCUUGUAGAGACAUGCCCAAAGAGUGGUUAUCAGUCUCAUUCUCAGGCUGGAAAGAUGUCUCAAGUGGGAUUGCACAGAGGUCUGUUCUGUACUUGUUAUUAUUCAGUAUUUUCUUUAUUUAAUGACUUGGGUAACAAAACAGAGAGUUCACUUAUUAAAUCUGUAGAUGAUCACAAGGUGGGAAAAGUUGCCGGCAUUUUUCAGGAUGGGGUUAGAAUUUUAACAAAUUAUCUUGAUAAAUUGGACAAAUGGUCUGAAAUAAAUGGAAUUUAUUUCAGUUUCAAUUUAAUAAAGACAAUUUAAUAAAGCACUUCAUUUAGAUAGGAAUACUUGUAAAUAGGGAACAAUUGGCUAGGCAGGAAUUCAAAAAAGGUUCUGAGGUUUUUGUAAGAUCACAGGUGGAAUAUAAGUCAUUAACAUUAUACUAUUGUGUGUAAAGUAAAACAUCUUACUAGAGCAUCAGAUGCAAGGUGCCAUGAAAUAGUCCUUCACUCUACUGGGCACUUAUAAGGCCUCAGAAAGAGUACUGUUUUUGGCACCACACUUCAAGAAAGAUAUGGACCAAUAGGUGACAGUCUAGAGGUAAUAAACAAACUCUAGAAAAAAAAUCACCUGUGAAGUAAGAUUGAAAGAACUGGAUUUCUUUAAUUUUGGGAAGAGAAAACUGAGAGGGAAAAAAGAUACAGGUCUUCAAAUCUGUGAAAUGUUACUGCAGAAAGGAAGCUUAUAAAAUCUUCUCCUUGUCCACUGGGGAUAGGGUUUAAAAUGGAGUAAGGGAUAUUUAAGUUACACAUUAGAAAGGAGUUUGCUUGAAUAGUUGAGCACUAGAAUAGAUUAGCUGGGUAGGUUAUGGAAUCCUGAUCUUGGGGGGAAGGUGUGGCAGCGAACAAGUUAGAUGAACAUCUGUCAGGAAUGGCUUAGGUACAAUGAAUGUUUUAGAUUUUGCCUUGGAGCAGGAGAGUGGUGCUCAGCCUAUGGCUCAUGGGCCAGAUCCAAUCCCUGAAGUUACUCAAUCUCUCUUUCUCUCCCUUUUCCUUUCUCUCUCUCUUCUCUCCCUCGCCCAACUAAGGCUGCAAACAAAUGUUGAAUUUGACCUGGGAAAAAGUGCGGUUGUUCAGAUGCCCAUGUCUGUUUUUUCUGGGACAAACCCUAAAAAGGUGAAUGGCAUUAAGAAGUGCUAACACUGUCCUGGGACAUCACAAAGUACAUCUGAACAAUGGUUCUGCGAUCACAUCAUUGAAUCAAUGGCAGAAAUGUGGUGGUGCAUUCAGUCACUCAUUAAAUUCUUAUUGGGCAGGCAAUGUGAGCACAUGCCAAUUUUGGGAUUUUUCUGUUCUGGGACAAGCAGCACAAGCACAAACACCACAUAUCCCAGAACAAAUGAAAUGUCUAUUCCUAGCCUAAUAGUUAUAUGAAGUGGAACAGCUUUGGUGGAAGAGACUGUGAAAUGCUUGCUCCAUAGUAUCCAGUAGGUUGGUAGCUCAUGAACUGCAUGGAGAAAUUUGAAACGACAUGCAUGGAGGAAUCGUUUUAUUUAAAAAACAUGCUGGUAUUUAAUUAUGGCUAAGGCUCCAAGAAGCAUGGUGGUGGUGGGACAUAGUGUGUGUGCAUUUGGUGUUUAGCAGGGAUUGGGUAGAUUAUAAUGAGCUGUGAAGUCUGUCACAACCCAAUGAUUUUAGUGCCUUGGCACGAUGGAAUUUUCCCGCCACAUGAGAGUCUCUUGCACAGCAAAAGUUUUCUGCUGCAACAGAAAACUCCGGUGCAAGAGAGUUCCUGCCAUUCGCAUGCAAAUUUGUGUCCCGCUAUUGGCCAGUUCUAAAUUAUUCCUAUGUGGCGGCUAGUAAUUGGCUUGCUGGCCGUAUAAAAUUUUGUGCGACUUCCGCCCAAGUCAGAGAACUUUGAGCACGCUGCAGAGUGCCUCUAAAGAUAUCUGACUUGCGGCUGAGCUGAUCAAUAGCCUGAUCACCUAUCGAUUCUUCUCCCCAUCGCCGAGCGCAAUCCUUCGACGUACGCUUUCCCUGCUGGCUUAAUUUGUGGAGGGAUUAGCUGGCCUGAGCCUUGCCGGCUGGAGCAACUCGUGGAGUUGUUUAAGCGACCGGACCACCUGCGUCGCGGCUGCUAGCGGCAUAAGUAAAGUUUUUGCAACCAAUACGCUUUGUCUGCCUCUCCAUUCACCAGCCCGCCCAAACGACCGAGCAGUUUGUAUAUCACCUCGAGUUGGCUCCGGCCGUCCGAGGCAAAGUCAAGUGACUUCCUCUGCACUGCCUGACUAGAAAUACUGCUAGGUAGUUGGUUUUAACUUUGAGUGGAACAGGAAUCAAAGGGAGUUGCAAGUGAAUCAGUGAACCCCCACUGGAUCCACCUCUGCUUCUCGCAUUAGGUGGCAGCUAAGUGGAGGUUUUGAAUGAUGCUUAAGGGCUAGUGAUUAGGCAGUUAACAGUCACUUUCCAAGGCUAAGUCCCUUUGUAGAUCCAGCCAUGUGUGUGUUGCUGAAUAAGGAUGAUUUUAAGCAAAUGGCUAAGUACUGUGCUGAAUUUGGGCAAUUUUAAGUGUUUGCAGAAUUGGCCUUUAUUAGUGCGGUUCGAUUUUUUCAUAUGAGUAAAAUGAGCACGAAGGCAUUUGAGCAACCUUAGAUCAUCAGUUGCCCACAGUAAGCUCCAGAAAUGGUCAUUGUGGUUGAUGAAUGCUGUCCCUUAAAUAUACACUUUCCUUUGUAAGUAAUUACAGUAACUUGUUUUCAAUAUUGGACUUUAUGGCGGGGAAGGUGAUUCUUUAGAAAAUUAUGGGCCUUAAUCCUCCGAUGACAAGGCUGUGUGAUUCAGUGAUGGGGUAAAACAAAAUAGCUUUCUCUUGCUGACUCUAUAGUCAGCUACAGUGUGGCCCCUGGUGAAAAUUAGAGGAACAACAAGGCUCUUCUCAUGUGCAUCCAGCUUCUUGAACCCCCAAGUUGCUGUUCUGAUGGCUGGUGUUUCCCAGAGUGUGAUCUGUCCUACACUUCUGUUCCCCAGGCAGGCCCCUGAUGCAGGUCCUAGUUGAGUCUUUGAGAAAGCAGGAUGGGAAGCCAGUGUUGCAGCCCCUGAGAUGUAUCGGCUGUUACAGUCCAGUUGACAGUUGUUUAUAUAUUAAUACUAGAGAUUUUUUAUGAGUGUUAUGAAUGACAACACAUGUUUGUAUGGUAUGCUUAUAAUAUAAGGAGUCUACAUUACCAGAAUCUCUGAGCUGUCCUCUCACCACUGAAUAGUAGGGGCUCUAAUGAAAUCAGUACUCUAGGAUAUGUGAAAAGCUUCCUGUCAUCUGGCUGUCCCUUGCACUGAUAGGUUUUCCUUCAAACGAGUUCAGGCUACUCCUGGCCUAAACCGUCCCUUUUUCCAGUGUCCUGUGCUAGUCUCCUAGGAGUGCUUGGAAGUGGCCUUAGAGGUCUGUGUGUCAUGUUGCUGCUGCUCUUUUCUCUUCAGGAAACUGCAGUGGUUACUUCUGAUGCGGGGCAGCUUUGUUAGUCUGAAGUCAGACAGAAGGCAGGACAGGGUGACACCUAGGAGGCUAACAUGUCCAAAAAUAUAACAAAGCUUACAGGAUAAUAGGGCUGUGCAAAGCUUUGGUCCCUGAUUGAAUUUGGCAGAGAUUCGGCCCGAUUCAGUGGCCGAAUCUCUGAAUCCAAAUCAAAUUGAAUCAGAACCCUCAUGGAGUGUCCCACAGGAGCACAGGGGCUCCCCAGCAUGGUCAGCA
Alligator mississippiensis (American alligator) is the source of this 11853-nucleotide RNA transcript. RefSeq lists it as hypothetical. The transcript has 16 exons. The record is from RefSeq and is a predicted model, not a curated record. Lineage: Eukaryota; Metazoa; Chordata; Crocodylia; Alligatoridae.